This 435-nucleotide long non-coding RNA is filed under the name Medicago truncatula (barrel medic). RNAcentral describes it as "lncRNA gene33366". Lineage: Eukaryota; Viridiplantae; Streptophyta; Magnoliopsida; Fabales; Fabaceae. The record is from RNAcentral.
CUCCUUGCAUUGUAAAAAAAAAAAGUAUUGUCUCAUUGUAGCUGUUUACAAUAAUAAACAAGGAAUCUAUUCAAAUGAAUUCAAUUAUAAUUACCAAUGAAACUGAGAAAAUCAAGAAACUUCAAAGAACCAACGGUAUGAAUAUAAACCAACAAGAAUAUGAUGAUAAUCCUGUAGUGAAGGAAAUUUUCUAAUUGUCUAUUGAUUGAGAUUUGAGACCAAGGAAAGGAACUAUGAUUACAAUUACAACACAAUUUGCCACAACAAUUCCAAGGCAUGCAGAUUAUUCAGUUUAAAUGUUUAAUAAAAUAAAAAAAUGACACUCAUACUCAUUCAAAUCAACUGAGAUUACACAUGCAAGUUAUUGCCUCACAAUGUAUCAUUUAUAUUCUUGAAAGUUUACAUGACCAGUUGCUUGGGCGUGCUCCGCUGCCU